AGUUUAUAUGAUUUUUAAUCGAAUGUUGUAUUUAUAAAGAGUUGGCAAAACAAAGACAUAUUUGUUAAAUGUGGAAAUUACUUUAUUGUUUUUGGAUAAAUACCCUAACACCCACCACAAAAAGAAGAGAAAUUCUGCCAGGAUGACAGCUAAUGACAGAACCAGAAAUGAGAUUCAGAUAGAGACACAAUACCUCUAAAUUCCUGAAGAAGACGCUACUCCUUGGGGUUAAAUUGAUAAUGAUUGGCUCAGUCAUUGUCUGGGAGCAGUCCAUAGGAAGUGGACUAUUGGUGGGAACACAGUGAUGAUGUCAAAAUUCAGAAGCUGGGGUUCUCAGGUUUUGCUUUGUGGCUACCACAAGCCUGGAAAGCCUUCUUCUGAAGAAAGAGAUGUAUGAAUCAAAUACAUUCAAAAGCUAUUGCUCCAAGGAGUAUUAUAAUAAUUUCUUUCACUGCCCUAACAUAAUCUUCCGAUAAACUCGUAAGAAAGAGAUUAAGGCACAGACAUCAGAGUCCAAGUCUUGCUGUGAGGACACAGGGAGAAGACAGCCAUCUACAAAACAAGGAUAGAGCCCCACAAUAAAAACCACCCUGCAGCUACCUUGAUCUUGAACUUCUAAUCUCUAGAAUGAUCCACUAUGCUUUAUUAUCCAUAUCUACAUAUCCUUGUGGCUGCUACUCCAGCCUUCCUG
This is a long non-coding RNA of Homo sapiens (human), 691 nucleotides long. RefSeq lists it as uncharacterized. Lineage: Eukaryota; Metazoa; Chordata; Mammalia; Primates; Hominidae. The transcript is spliced from 5 exons. The record is from RefSeq and is a predicted model, not a curated record.